This 254-nucleotide ribosomal RNA is filed under the name uncultured bacterium. RNAcentral describes it as "partial 16S ribosomal RNA". It matches the Rfam family "Bacterial small subunit ribosomal RNA", at positions 524 to 776 of the family's 1533-position model. The record is from RNAcentral.
UACGUAGGGUGCGAGCGUUGUCCGGAAUUAUUGGGCGUAAAGGGCUCGUAGGCGGUUUGUCGCGUCGGGGAGUGAAAACACCGGGCUUAACUCGGUGCUUGCUUUCGAUACGGGCAGACUAGAGGUAUUCAGGGGAGAACGGAAUUCCUGGUGUAGCGGUGAAAUGCGCAGAUAUCAGGAGGAACACCGGUGGCGAAGGCGGUUCUCUGGGAAUAUCCUGACGCUGAGGAGCGAAAGUGUGGGGAGCGAACAGG